This 2643-nucleotide long non-coding RNA is filed under the name Xyrichtys novacula (pearly razorfish). Lineage: Eukaryota; Metazoa; Chordata; Actinopteri; Labriformes; Labridae. The record is from RNAcentral.
CCCCUACCCUCCACCUCGGCCCCUGUAAAUAUAACUGGACACUUCAUAUUUAAAAGGCCUCUCUCAACAAAUCAUGUUCACGACAGCUUUCGUGUGCGCCGUGGGAGCAACAUCUGAAAACCGUGACACGUCUGAGGCGAGGCGAAAGGCUUGACUGACAGAAUAAUUCUCCAUUAAUAGAGCGGGUCACUCAAACAUCCUUUAUUCCUCAUGGCCUCACAUGACAAUCACAGUGAGAUAAAGACACACAGCAGCAGUGGAAGUUCUAACUGCAGAAAAACAAACUAAAAUAUCCAAAAUGUCACACAUCGGGGUUGAAUUGCUAAAAAAACACGCCAAAGUGAGGAACAACUCUUUUAGAGGUGGUAACAAUUACCGUAGGGAGAGGAUUAAAUUAACGUUUGCAGGACUUAACACUCCCUUUUUUAACAAGGAGCACAUGUGCUCAGAAGUUGAAAAAGUAAGGAGCACUCGAAGGACUUUAGGGACACAAUGAAAAUUGAUCAAAUACUCUAUUUUUCGCACUAAAAGGUGCACUUAAAAUCCUUUUGGCUUGUCGGAGCACUGCGGAGUUAUUGAAUGAGUUAAAUAAAGUUUGACUUAUCUGACUGUUUUGUUUGGCUUAAUGCGCUUUAUAAUCCGGUGCGCCUUAUGUAUGAGAACAGACGCGUUCAUUGAUGUUGCGCCUUAUAGUGCGAAAAAUACGGUAAUGUUUGUCUCAUUGGGAGACAUUGGGAGUCUUUUGGUCACAUGACAUGGAAGCUAUUGACGAAAAACAGCCUUUUUUGAGAACAUUAACCGGUAAUUUAUUGACGGUCCCUUAUUCAACACCCGACGUUGACAGUGAGGGUGACGCGUAGAUUUAACUGCGCUGCUGUUGUUAUUCCCGGUUAUGGGGAGUGAGAAGACUCUAGUAGAUUGGCAGUGAAUGAUCGUCAAAUAUCCAACCUAGAGCUGCAGCUAUCGAAUAUUUUAGUAAUCGAAUAUUCUACCGAUUACUCGAGUAAUUGGACCCAAACGGCAGACUCAGUUAGAUUUCUUAUAACCCCGCAAUGAAGGCUAGAUUCUGAGAGAUAGAGGACAAUUGCGGAACAAGCGUGUGCGUUGGCGGAUUGCAAUGCUUGUAAGAAAGCUAAUUAUGAUAUUAACUAUAAUCAUGUCCCUAAAGACAUUAGUGUCCAAGAGCUGAAUGGCUUCUGCUUCUGCUACGAGACCAGCAGAAGUUAGGCUACAAGCUAGCGUGAAGAGAAGUGUGCAGAGUCGCUAGGUUGGCAACACUACAAGAAAAGCCCGUCUCAUCAUUUAUUUUUCUGCUCCGCAAAACCUAAACAGCGCUCAAUUCUCCUUUUACCGUGGUGACGUAAGCACAUUGUGUCACCUUCAAAAGAAUCUGUGCCAAGCAGUAUAAACGAGUACUUGAGACAGAGAAAGUUCCUCGAUCAUUAUUUGUAAUCGAGGUACUUGAGGUAUCGAUGAAUUGUUUCAGCCAUAAUUCAACCUAAAACUAAUUUAAAAACACAUUUGUUGCCUCAGCUAAUUUUUCUUUUGCGCACAUGUGCCUCUAAAUACAUUUUACAAUUCGCACUCAUCUAUUUUUAGUCGUAAUUGUGAGUGAAACGGUCACACUGUGGAGCCCUGAUUUGACUCAUCAUACAGUUGGCUCACUGUGUCCUUUGGCCUGCUGUCCGUUCCCCUCUAUGCCUGUCCAGAAUCCACUUGCCCUGCAGCCUGGUCCAAAGUGUCUUUGAACAAAAUGGCUGCAUUUCCAUUACACACGCCGCGGUCCAAUUAAAUCCUAAUGUUUCUGGUUUUGUCCUGACCUCUUUUUCACCACAGAAAUUCAUCUCCGGUGAACACUCAGGACUUGUGGUGGAUUUCAAAACUCUAAAGUGUGUCAUGCCUCUAAAAAAAUGAGUGGGCAGGGAAAUAUGUAAAUCUCCAGGAUGUUGGCUGUCACUCUCUUUCUAUUGGAGGAGACGGUUACUCCAGAAAAAAGGUAAACAAAGGAGAAAAUUGCAUAGGACUCUGACUUUUAAUUGAGAAAGCUUUUCCUUUUGAUGUAGCCUGGGAGAUCUGAGAAGUGCUUUUUUGAGCUAAUUACAGAGUCAUGCCAGAGAUCUAAUUAGAGUGAUGCUAAUGAGCCUUGUUUAUUCUUAUCUGAUGUCAAAAUGAAAUUGGUUGAAAUUCAAAUAAAGGUGUCAGCAGUGGAAAUCGUGCCAAGAAGUAGGAUGGGGAGAUUAAUUCAAGUGUUGGAUGUGUAGUGUGUACUUUGCAUGUUUUCAGUAGCGACACUUUCUGCAGGGUGCUACUUUCACCACCAAAAAUGCCACCUCAGAUCUUCCACAGCUCCAACCUAAAUUUAGCAGAGUACAGUAAAUCAGCGCUGUGAUUAAUUCACUGUAUUUAAUUUGCAUGUACUUGCUUGCAUCAUGCGCAGGAGCAUUAAAUAUGAAAGCAAGUUACUCUGCGUAUCAUCUCUCCUUCCUGCCUUUGUAUCUCUGUGGAUGCAUGUAUGCGGUUGUGGUUUUAGUUUUGGAGGGUUUGAUUAAAACGCCCUCAGCAAUCUGGAAGAUGACUGCUGUGGGCACUCAAGGGGGUCUGCAGAUCAGGCAGAGACCCAACUCCCAGCCUGAUCCGGCCCCA